Molecule: ribosomal RNA, 725 nt
Filed under: Panagrolaimus sp. DS127
Lineage: Eukaryota; Metazoa; Nematoda; Chromadorea; Rhabditida; Panagrolaimidae
Description: partial large subunit ribosomal RNA
Rfam family: Eukaryotic large subunit ribosomal RNA
Source: RNAcentral
GUGAGGGAAAGUUUAAAAGAACUCUGAAGAGAGAGUUAAAUAGUACGUGAAACCGGUUAGGUGGAAGCAUAUAGAGUUAUCAUAAGAUGGUAACAAUAGGUUGGUUAUGAUGUGCAAAAAGUUGUGCAAGUUUUGCCGUUCAUCGGUGAUCUUGCAUGAUUUUUUUGGUUGCAUUUUGGCCAAUUGAUUUGUUAUCCUUGCGCUGAAAUUAUUGAGUAUGCAUUGUUGCCUGUGUAAAUUAGAUGCCUUUGCCUUUGGGUAAAGUUACUUGAUUUACUUGUGCUGACAUUGUUAUGCUUAAUAAUUAUUUUUGGAUUAAAAAGCGAAUUGUGCUUUUAACUGACUGUGAAUUGGUGGUAUUGCAUGCAAUAUGCCAUUUGCUAGUUUGUUUAAUUGUACUUUUCAAUGUUUAAUCCUUUCAGUGUACUCGAUGACCACCUAUAUGUCCCGUCUUGAAACACGGACCAAGGAGUUUAUCGUAUAUGCGAGUCAUUGUCUGUAAAAAAGAUAUUGGCGUAAUGAAAGUGAUUUCAUUUUCAUGUGAUCCGGUGUUCAAAAACCGGCGCAACAUGAUCCCAUAUUAAUGGCUUGCCAUGGUGUGGAGAUUGAGCAUAUGCGAUGAGACCCGAAAGAUGGUGAACUAUGCCUGGGCAGGAUGAAGCCGGAGGAAACUCUGGUGGAAGUCCGAAGCGGUUCUGACGUGCAAAUCGAUCGUCUGACCUGGG